CACUGGUGGCGACCGGCGCACGGGUGCGUAACGCGUAUGCAACCUACCCAUAACAGGGGAUAACACUGAGAAAUUGGUACUAAUACCCCAUAACAUCAGGACCGGCAUCGGUUCUGGUUGAAAACUCCGGUGGUUAUGGAUGGGUAUGCGUUGUAUUAGCUGGUUGGUGAGGUAACGGCUCACCAAGGCAACGAUACAUAGGGGGACUGAGAGGUUAACCCCCCACAUUGGUACUGAGACACGGACCAA
This 249-nucleotide ribosomal RNA is filed under the name uncultured bacterium. RNAcentral describes it as "partial 16S ribosomal RNA". It matches the Rfam family "Bacterial small subunit ribosomal RNA", at positions 83 to 334 of the family's 1533-position model. The record is from RNAcentral.